GACGAACGCUGGCGGCGUGCUUAACACAUGCAAGUCGAACGGAAAGGCCCUGCUUUUGUGGGGUGCUCGAGUGGCGAACGGGUGAGUAACACGUGAGUAACCUGCCCUUGACUUUGGGAUAACUUCAGGAAACUGGGGCUAAUACCGGAUAGGAGCUCCUGCUGCAUGGUGGGGGUUGGAAAGUUUCGGCGGUUGGGGAUGGACUCGCGGCUUAUCAGCUUGUUGGUGGGGUAGUGGCUUACCAAGGCUUUGACGGGUAGCCGGCCUGAGAGGGUGACCGGCCACAUUGGGACUGAGAUACGGCCCAGACUCCUACGGGAGGCAGCAGUGGGGAAUAUUGCACAAUGGGCGGAAGCCUGAUGCAGCAACGCCGCGUGCGGGAGGACGGCCUUCGGGUGGUAAACCGCUUUCGCCUGUGACGAAGCGUGAGGGACGGUAAUGGGUAAAGAAGCACCGGCUAACUACGU
This 467-nucleotide ribosomal RNA is filed under the name uncultured bacterium. RNAcentral's name for it is "partial 16S ribosomal RNA". It matches the Rfam family "Bacterial small subunit ribosomal RNA", at positions 28 to 506 of the family's 1533-position model. The record is from RNAcentral.